GAUGAACGCUAGCUACAGGCUUAACACAUGCAAGUCGAGGGACCGGCGCACGGGUGAUUAACACGUAUCCAACCUGCCCUUUACUCUGGGAUAGCCUUUCGACAGCAAGAUCAAUACCCCAUAUAAAGGAUGGGUAUGCGUUCCAUUAGGUUGUUGGUGAGGUAACGGCCCACCAAGCCUUCGAUGGAUAGUGGUUCUGAGAGGAAGGUCCACCGGAAUGGAGCUGAGGCACGGUCCAAACUCCUACGGGAGGCAGCAGUGUGGAGUAUUGGGGAAUGAACGUUAGCCUGGACCAGCCAAGUAGCGUGAGGGAUGAAGGGUUAUGGGUCGUAAACUUCUUUUAUAUAAGAAUAUGUAUUAUAUGAAUAAGGAUCGGCUAACUCCGUGCCAGCAGCCGCGGUAAUAC
This 406-nucleotide ribosomal RNA is filed under the name uncultured bacterium. RNAcentral describes it as "partial 16S ribosomal RNA". It matches the Rfam family "Bacterial small subunit ribosomal RNA", at positions 28 to 526 of the family's 1533-position model. The record is from RNAcentral.